AUCGAUCAUGAGCAGUCUGCUGAAGCUGUGAAUGAGAAAACACGAAACUGCGACACAGGCCGCAAAGUCCUUGUGGACAAUAUUCUUUCUCAUCUGUAAUUGACUUCCUUGGCGACUCCCACUGUAGAAUUUUAACCGAAAGUAGCCAUCGACAUUGUUAUAAACUUCUCCAUCGCAUGUGUAGCUCCACUGUCUGAGGUUGCUCUUUGUCACAUUCUAGAUUGCAAUCUCGUACAUGAUCACUAGUGUUGCUUCUAGUACCUGCUGGUGAUUUUGUGAAGAAACGCUCGGUGGUGCAGCUGAUCGAUAAGCUCAGCCCUGAACAACUUCACAUCUAGAUGUCAUCAGCUCGCUACCAAGCUCUUCAGAAUAGUGUUUGUAUCAGUAUUCUAUUUGUUGCAGUUUCUCAAUAGUGCUGAGGAAAGAUAGACUGGUCGAUCUGGUGCCAGCUCAAUCAGCCUAACGUGAAGCUUCACAGUGCGGAUCCUCAGUUGCUCGUCAUGGGGCUCAAAUUUGCAGUGCUUAGGGUUACUGCGGCUUUGGCAUGUGUGCUGAUGGUUCUAUUAAUGUGUUUUCAACCAGUAGCUGGUAAUGAACAGCGUAUGGGACGCAAACUCGCAGCCACCACGCUGAAGCAAUGCUUGGCUAAAGGAGGCGCCCGAACGGCGUUCCCUGGAACCUCGGAGUACAGCACCGCAAGGUUAGCGUACAAUUUGCGGGAAAGAUAUGCCCCUUCUGCGUUCGUCUUCCCGACUACUGUCGCUCAAGUGCAGAAUGCAGUGUUUUGCGCGAAACAAGUCGGCGUGGGAAUAGUUCCUCGCGGUGGUGGCCAUUCGUAUGAAGAUUAUUCCUUAGGUGGUCGGGACGGGGUGCUUGUGGUGGAUAUGGAGGGCUUCAAGCAGUUUAGUUACAACAAAGCUGCGAAAACUGCCGUCGUCGGCGCGGGCUUUCGCUUAGGGCCUCUCUACUUAGCUCUCUGGAAUGCUGGCAAAGUCACGAUUCCAGCAGGGAAUUGUCCAACCGUGGGCAUCGCUGGACACGCCUUGGGAGGCGGAUGGGGCUUCAGCUCCCGCAAAUUCGGUUUGGUCACGGAUAACAUACUGGAAGUCCAGCUGGUGGCAGCGAAUGGAACAGUAGUCACCGCGAACGCCCAGAAAAACAAGGACCUCUACUUCGCCAUCCGCGGGGCCGGUGCAACGUCUUACGGCAUCGUCACACAGUUCACCUUCCGGGUUCACGACGUUUCCGCACCGGUCACCCACUUCAAAUAUAGAUGGAACGACAAGGCGGUGUUGUUCAAGAAUUUCAAGUCGUUCCAGUCGUGGGGCCUGAAUGUACCUGCUGAGAUCUCCGCGGCAUUCUACAUGGAUCCAUCCGGCGUAAGCUGGCUGGAAGGGACCUACCUAGGGAAAAAAACCUCUCUCUUACCGUUGGUGAAGACGUUCCUCGCCUCAGCAGCGCCAAAUCCCACUCGCGUUGAGGAGGAGCUAAACUGGAUCCAACUGAUUCUUGUAAACUGGAACUACCCAUCCAACACGAAUCCCAACCAGCUCAACAACGUCCCCUUCACUACUAACACGUUCAAGGCGAAGUCCAUUUACGUGAACGGUCCGGGAUUGUCCGACGCAGGCAUCAAUGCCAUGAUCAAUGCCAUGAACACGGGGUCCAACGCUUAUUUCAUCUACGACCUCUACGGUUCCCAGUCGGCGAUCAACAAGGUCGUGCCCGGGGAAACCGCGUUUAUUCACCGCAACUCCCUGUACAGUAUCCAGAUGGUUGCAAGCUGGAGUAAUGACAACAACGCCGUGACACAAACUAGCUACAUCACGAGAUACUGGAAAGUGGUGCGGACUUACGCAACCGGACAGGCGUAUCAGAACUAUAUAGAUAGAGAUAUGCCUCUUAGCGCAUACUAUGGGUCAAGUCUAAGCACACUCAUUGCAGGCAAGAAAAAAUGGGACCCCCAAAACGUCUUCAACUUCCCCCAAAGCAUACCGCUCAAAUAGAAUACGGAAGCUUUUAGGUUCCGGAAAACUGUACCAUACGGUGUCCAACACCACCUUUCUUUUUCUUUGAAAUCUGCACCCAGUGUGAUGCCCCGCAGAGUAACCAGUUCCAGCGAGCUAGGCUUUCAGUGAACUGAGACAGGACAGGACCUCCGAUGAAAGCAUGUCGAGAGGCAACUAAAAGUCGGAGGGUGUUAUAUAGUGGUUUUAUGCAGUUGAGGACAGCGCAACCACGAGGGCCAUCACUCCUUGACAAGGUGCGGCUCUUGCCCUAUUUUGCUGUGCUACCACGGAUUGGUUAUACAGAAUGUUAAUUGUGAUUUCUAAUUAGCCCUUUUAAUCAAGUUGUGGUGUAAGUCGGGUUCUCUUCCGAGCAAUCGGAGCAAUGGAAGGUACUGGGCUAGGUUCAAACCAAGCAACAACAUGUCGUUGGUGGGGCAGUAUUUGAAUUGGAUCUUGUUGAGGGUGGCAAGUCGUCUGAUGAAGUGGUAGCAGAUGGCGGUAGGUUUGGCUCAAGAGUGAAACUUCGUGGUGUCUACCAAGGCAAGUGCCGAUUGGUUAUUACAAUGGAUUAGGAUUAUAAUUUUUAGCCCUUUGGUUUGGUGCAAAUCACAGAGCAAGUGUCAAUGCCAAAUGGCUUUGGAAGCAAUAAUAGCCAUAGCCAUGUACUUUGCUUUAGUACUUGAGAGAGCCCGAAUUGAUGGCUUUGUGUAAUAAGAAGAAAUAAUACCAUGUCGUAGAGUAACAUUUGUUGACUUUUCCAACCUAA
Molecule: RNA transcript, 2775 nt
Organism: Physcomitrium patens
Lineage: Eukaryota; Viridiplantae; Streptophyta; Bryopsida; Funariales; Funariaceae
Gene name: chitooligosaccharide oxidase
Source: RefSeq, a predicted model, not a curated record